GCGGUAACAUUAUCGUAGCUUGCUAGAAGAUGACGAGCGGCGGACGGGUGAGUAAUACUUAGGAAUCUACCUAGUAGUGGGGGAUAGCUCGGGGAAACUCGAAUUAAUACCGCAUACGACCUACGGGAGAAAGGGGGCAACUUGUUGCUCUCGCUAUUAGAUGAGCCUAAGUCGGAUUAGCUAGAUGGUGGGGUAAAGGCCUACCAUGGCGACGAUCUGUAGCUGGUCUGAGAGGAUGAUCAGCCACACCGGGACUGAGACACGGCCCGGACUCCUACGGGAGGCAGCAGUGGGGAAUAUUGGACAAUGGGGGAAACCCUGAUCCAGCCAUGCCGCGUGUGUGAAGAAGGCCUUUUGGUUGUAAAGCACUUUAAGCAGUGAAGAAGACUCUUCAGUUAAUACCCGGAGACGAUGACGUUAGCUGCAGAAUAAGCACCGGCUAACUCUGUGCCAGCAGCCGCGGUAAUACACAGGGUGCAAGCGUUAAUCGGAAUUACUGGGCGUAAAG
This 508-nucleotide ribosomal RNA is filed under the name Psychrobacter alimentarius. Its description in RNAcentral is "bacterial SSU rRNA". It matches the Rfam family "Bacterial small subunit ribosomal RNA", at positions 66 to 565 of the family's 1533-position model. Lineage: Bacteria; Pseudomonadati; Pseudomonadota; Gammaproteobacteria; Moraxellales; Moraxellaceae. The record is from RNAcentral.